UUUUUAAGAUUUAUUUAUUUGUUUGUUUAUACAUGCAAGCACUGGGUACAGUCAGAAGCGCGGGAGGGUGAGAGAAUUCACCAGAGCCAGAGCAGGGAGCAGAGCAGGCAGAAGGACCGAAGUACACUGCUGAGGGGAGCAGCAGGCGGCAGGAGAGGUCUGUGCACCAUGUGGGACCCUCCUCCGGUGGCCGGGGAGCAGCUGGGGAUCGAAUUGGGACCACAAAGGCCGCGGGCAGCUUCACAACCCAGCGCUCAACCGCUGCGCCACCGGGGAGGCCCAUGCUUAUUGAUUUUUAAUGUAGUCAUCUGGACAUGUACUUAAUCAUAAGUUGUCCCCCAUCAGCAUUAACCAAUUCCUCCAUUUUAAGGCUUUCUGUAACAGAUGAGAACACUCAGGUGGUUGUCUACACAAUGUUACAUCACCAGCAGGCGCUGUUCUCGAUAGCUUAUAUCUGAAAUAGUUUUGACUGUUUUCAAUAACUACACACUUUUUGUUCUCUUAGUAGCCCGGAAUAUUGAGUGCUUUCAAAAUAAUGCCGGAGUAUUUUAAAGAAUUUUGCAAAACACUUCAUGGUAUUGGUGCUUUGCCAUCCAUUUUUUUGUACCUAAACUAUCUCUGGGGACCCUGAAGUGACACUAGACCCUCUUUUAGAGGUUCCUGCUAUCGUCUGUUGUAACACUCUGCAUGAUCACAAGAAAAAUAUAAAUUCUCACAUGACUUCACAUGCAGAAAUUGUCUUGCCUCUCCUGUCUAGGGGCCUCCCCUUGGUUGGCCCUGGAUAAAAUCUCCAUAGAGCUGACAAUUGAUAAUACUUAGUUACUUCCAUUAACUAAUACUGUAUUUCUGCCUUUGGUUUACCUGCAGCAAUACAAUUUUCAGGAUCUUUGAAAUACUACAGUAUUGACCUUUUAGUGGCCUUCAAACAUACAUUGUCUUAGAUUUGAUAUAUAUGUAAUCCAACAUGUAAGUACAUUGAGACAUCACUUAGGAAUGACAGAUUGGUUGCGGGGGGUGGGGGAAGUAGGUGUGUGUUUAUAUUACGUGCAUUCUGGAGAGCAGGGUGUGUGUGUAGGGAAGCAUUUUGUGAUGUCACUGGCCUGGGCAGCAGUUGCUUAUUUUUCAGAGAAGAGGCAAUUACUUCUAAAAUGGGGAUGUUUGCAGGAAGUAUCUGGCAGGAUGGAGGCACCCUCUAUUCCAUUUCGGGGAAAAUCAGGAUAGCUCACACUGACAUCUUUUAAGAAUGAUGUGGGGUCUCCCGGGUGGCACAAGAGAUAAAGCACAGCACUAUGAAGCUAUCCACAGCCUCUGUAGCAUGUGUUUGAUCCCAGGCCACCAGGGAGAAACCCAGUUGGGGUGGCACACCUCUCCUGCCUUGCUUGCUGCUCCCCUCAGCAGUGUUUUCAGUCCAUCUGCCUUUUGUGCUCCCUGCUCUGUCUCCCCUACCACAGAAAGGGGAAUAGAACUGGCAGACUCACAAAAUACACUGCUGAGGGGAGCAGCGGGCAUGACAAGAGGGGUCUGCCAUGCCUUGUGGGACCCUCGCAGGCCGGCCGGGAUCGAACUGGUGCUGCAGAGCCUGCAGACAGCCUCAAGUGCGAUGCUCAACAGUCUGCGCCACCAGGAGAGGCCCCCAAAUCAGACUGCGGGUUCACAAUGACUGGCGGCUCCCCUCUUGACUCCCCUCUUGGCUCCCCGUUGGCUAAUUGCUUUGGCAACUAUCAGUACAAACCACAUCUGAUAGAAUGAAAGUCUCUCCGUAAUUUGAGCAGAGGCCAUGCCAGGGACUGUAUUGGUUCAGGUUGUCCUAAAUUGCCUUCUGAGUGGAAACAAGUUUUUUUCUAGCUGGCCUACGAGGCUGUGAUUGAAUAGGGAGGGAAACCAGUGACUCUAUGUGUUUCAUUUUUCUAAAUUGUUGGUAAUAUAAGUUGGCAUAUUCCUCGGAUUUUCAUUUUAGGUUUCUCCAUUUAGCCAUGAUACUUGGGAGGUUUCUCCCACGAGGCCUCUGAGCUCCAUGUCUAAAACAAAAAAUUCUCAUUUGAGGCUGGGGUAGAUAGAAAGAAAAUAGACUUUUAGAGAAGCAUGAAAAAUAUUUUAGUGUGUUUAUUCCAGUUUAUCUACUUCAACGCGUGUAGUAGGUAGAUGAAGAAAUGGGAGGAAUAAAGCCCCAAAUAGUUGACUUUUUAAUACAAAACUCGCUGCGAGUGGGCUUGGAAUACAUGUUAGUGCUCCGUUGGUCCCAGUCUUAACCACUUGCAAAGCCUCGACUGUGAGACACAAUAAGAAAUGGUCUUCUUAAGCCCCCGUCAGCACUCUGCGGAAGGCUUUGUUUCAGCCCAGAUGGUCAAUAGCGCCCUUAGGUGUCUGGGCACAUGCACUGACUGACCAGGGAAGAACUCCUGGUGAUAAUCCGGCGCCUUUCAGCUUUGUUUAAGAUGUAGCAAGGAACCUGUGGGAUGGAGGCAGCACUUUCUUGUUUUCACAUCUAGUUCUGCUGUUCCCUGGUUUACUCUCUGCCACAUGUGGUUCCUUCUAGUCUUGAAAAUGUGGCUGAUGCCACUGUUUGCUUUCACAGGGAUCCCAAAUUCCAAAUCCUGAAGAAGGUGUAAGUUGGAUGUUCUGGUAUCCACUGGUGUCCAGUGUUUGGAAAUGCACUGGGCUAGUUUGGAAAGUUUGGAUUCUCUGAGCUUUCUUCUGGAGAGUCUGCAAUCACUGCCAGUCUCUACACGAUGGGAGAGGUGUUGCAGAGUCCUGCUACAUUCCUUAGUCUGCCUGGCCUUCAUUACCUGUAUCAGGUGUAUCUGGAUACACCUGAUAGAAAGUCCAGAUAGACUUUCUGGUGUAUCUGGACUUCAGGGGCAGCCUUGGCCCUCUCCAACUCAAGACAACUCCUCCCAAACACUUUAUCUGCAGGGAGCCAUUGAGGAACCCCCUGUGCGCCAACAUUUUUUGAUUUUUUUUUACUGUGUGCAGUGUUGUAGAUCUGUGAUUUCAUUCAUCUGUAAACCACGCUCAGCAGUGGCUAUUGCUGGUCCCAUUUUAUACAUGAGAAAAUUGAGACUUGAAGGAAGAGCAGCUUGCCGAAAGUCCACAGCUAUUAAGGAAAAUGGACUCCAAAGCCUUUCCAGUAACCUGUUUACCUCCCUGGAAGGAUUUGGGCCUCUGUCCUUCUCCUGGCAGGAAAGCAUUCCCUGCGGACUCUGUAGGGGGCUGCCCUCCUGCCCUGUGGAGCAGCUGUGAUAAGUGCUCACUGCAACCUGCAUGGGGCUCUCUGCACUUCUGUCAACACCCUCCUGUUGAGCAGGAAGCCACACUCACAUUCCUCCAGAAGGUUAGUGAGAGAGCUGCAAGCAGAAGUUGAUUUUUCUUUCCCUUCCGAAACAAGUAUCACUCAACUCCUUUAACAAUUGACUUCCUAAGUUGACUUUGAGUGUAGGUGAUGCAGCAAGCCCCAGACCUAGGAUUUUCAAAAUGUCCUUGGCCAGUUAUUACCAAUGACUGUCAAAUGUGUUCUCGGUGGUCUGGGUGUAUCCCAUGGGAAAAUGCCUUUUCUCAGGGAGUGGAGCUUUUACAGUUCAUUUGUGACUUAGAUUUUAGCUGUAUGUUGAAUUCAUACCUUUCUCCGCUCUUAACUAUCUUGUCUCAUAGCAGAAGCUGUUGAAUGUGGUCUGUGCUCGUACAUUAGGUUUCUGAUGUGAUUGUCUUUAUUCUGGUGGGUUGGGCUGGGAAGGGGUCGCUUCAGCCGUGGCCAGUGAUAUCCUGGGGAGUAAGUGAAUCCAUUGGCCCUGGAUUCUGUCCAGUAUAUUCAGUUCCUUUAUUUCACAUCCUAGGGAGGUGACAUGAUGGUCAAGGUUACAGUACUUCUUAGUGGUACCUCUUGUCACCCAGAUUUCUAAGUCACACUGCCCUCAUACCAGGAUUUUGGGGGCUCUCUGAUAGGAGGAGGGAGGCUUAGAGAUGAAGUGACUUGUCUGAGGUCCUGGCUGGUUGGUGUAUGAGUUGCAGCUAGAACUCAAACCUGAUAAGGACUGGAAUGUAGCUAACUGAAUGUUUAGCUACAGAAUGUUUUUGUUGUAUUUUAGCUGACUGAAUGUUUUUAGAAACUCAAUUAUGUCUCCACUCUACCAAAAAAACUAGCUGUUUAAACUUUCCCAUUGUGAUUGUAAGGUGAACAGUUCUCUCUGAUUUGUCUUAUAGUAGGGGGAACAGGGACACCAAUUCAUGUGUUUACUUUUUGGAUUUCCUGAGGCCAGCUCUCCUUAGGUUGCCCCCACCCCAAUCCUAGAUCCAGACCUAUGGCUCCACUGCCUGAGGACUCUGCUCCACCCGCUGCCUCUGUUUUUCUACUGCAGAGGAUGUGGAAGUGGGAGCUCAUUAAACAAAAAAAUCAGGAGUUCACCCUGCAUUUCAGUUCCCUUUUGGAGCCAGGGUGGAGAGCAGAGAAAGAAAGGUGUGCUGCUCCACAAUGUGGCUGAAGACUUUGCAGCCAUUGGGCUGACCUCCCCCUGGGCAGGAAAGUGGACAGACAGGGAGUGCUCCCAAUUUCAGGGGUGGCCCUCCUGAGUGGCUUCCAGCACUUGUUACAAGAACAGUGAAGACCUUCUGGGCAGCUGCAACAGGCGAUAGGCUCGAUGGCCUCACUGGAUCUUGAGCUGAAGCCAGGACUGUGCUGAGUGACCCCAGUCAGUGAGCAGUGCAAAGCAGUGGCCUCCGAACCUUCCUCUUCCCCACAUCCCAGUCUCUCUGUGCUGGAGUCCUGGACAGGGCACCGGAACAUCUGGCUCAGUCAGGCUACUAAAGUGUUGCACUACUGAACACUCUUGAAUCUGCUGCACCCUUUCUGUUUACACAGUGAGCAGAGUAAUAGCAAGACUGUGCUACACGUGAUGGCUCUGCACUUAGCUAGGCUGUCAGGCAGGCCAGGCUCUGCCCCAUGGUGGCCUGCUGCCAUUGUGUUUCCCUUCCUGUGCGGGUCUCUGCUGUCCCUGAAGCAUCACCAGGACACCUUGGUGUCCUUCUGAAUGUAAUGACUUACUUGUAACUCUAGUCACAUCCCAGGAAAAGAAACAAAAGCAGGGACCUGACCGCCUCCUUAGACCCUCUUUCUUGUUUAGGCAACCAAACAUAUUUAGAAUUGGGCCCUGUGUCUAGCCCAGGGGAGGAAGAAGUUUCUAGCAGUUAUGGCUUUUGUUUGCUGCCUGGUGCUUUCACAGAAAUACUUCAUUUUUUUAAACCAAAAUUGCAUUUGUUCAGUUGUCAUUGUUGAGGAUGUGUUUCUUGUGUUUUACAGACGUGAGUAUAUAUAUGUAUGUACUUAUAUAUAUGUAUGUAUGUAUGAAGAAAACCAAAUGUAUAUGACAAGGUCAAGGCAUGUAUACUAGAUAUUUUGAAGUUAUUUAUCAAGGGGAAAGAUGUGUGUUAUAGAGUAAACAGAGUCUGUAUUUUAUAUAUAAUGCGGAUAGCAAGAAUAGCAUCCACAUUAUACACAAGUUUCGUUUCCUCUUUUAUUAUUAAAGGAAAAGAAAAGAGGACCAUAAAUUCAGCUGUUCCCAGGGUUGUGAAGGCCAGGACACCGUCGCGGGAGGGACUGCCCGGCCCUGGGGUAUGCUCUGUGUUCAGGCCCAGUCCUACACUCCCCACCGGCUGGCUCUGCCUCCCCGGGGCUUCCUGCUCUCCCCCAAAGUCUGCAUCGCUGGAGUGAAGGGUAUAAAAAAAGACCUGCUGAGACCCUCAGGAGGAGGUACUUGCAUGAGAGACGGUGUCUGUGUCUUCCUCACUCCUACCUGGCUCCACUUCCCCUCAGCCCUCCGAAAAAUUUCAUCAAGGCGGUCCUCUCCUGCUGCAAUCCCUGACACGACAUCUAGUUGGAAUUGGUCUCCAACCUGUGAAGAUUCCCCACCUUGAACAUUCCCUGUUCACUGAACUCAGCCCUUUAUCCUUCAAUUAGACGGGAGUAUGGAAUCAGGGAAGAGCUUCUCUCUGUCUUGGCCAGAAGAUGGCGCGGGGGCUCCAAGUGCUGCUCCCAGUGGCGUUAGAAGAAAAUCUUGUGGGAGAGAAAUUGCUGGGUGGAGGGGUGCACGGAGGUGCCACCUGCUGGGGUCUCCCCUUCCGCUUUCCCGUGGACAUCCCUGGCCAGCUGGAGACUCCCGUGCAGAAGCCACCCUCUUGGGCAGGUGUUUGCCCCAGGGAUGUCCCCACAGUGGGUCUGGGGAUCACUGCAGCAUGGGCAGGAAUGAAAGAGGCCGGGGGGGGACAGAGACCCCUCGUGGCUCAGGCCCCUUGUUGGGGCAGGUCCGUUCCAGG
Long non-coding RNA from Talpa occidentalis (Iberian mole), 6303 nucleotides. RefSeq lists it as uncharacterized. The transcript has 4 exons. The record is from RefSeq and is a predicted model, not a curated record. NCBI's taxonomy places the organism in Eukaryota, Metazoa, Chordata, Mammalia, Eulipotyphla, Talpidae.